RNAcentral lists this long non-coding RNA (1339 nucleotides) under Sus scrofa (pig). RNAcentral describes it as "lncRNA (ENSSSCG00065005108.1)". Lineage: Eukaryota; Metazoa; Chordata; Mammalia; Artiodactyla; Suidae. The record is from RNAcentral.
GGUUCCCGUUAUGCCCACUUUCUGAAGGGUUUUUAUCAGCAAUGGGUGUUGGAUUUUGUCAAAGGCUUUUUCCACAUCUCUUGAGAGGAUCAUAUGGUUUUUAUUCUUCAGUUUGUUAAUGUGGUGUAUCACACAGAUGGAUUUGCGGAUAUUGAAGAACCCUUGCAUCCUUGGGAUAAAUCCCACUUGAUCAUGAUGUACAAUCCUUUUAAUGUAUUGUUGGAUGUGGUUUGCUAGUAUUUUGUUGAGGAUUUUUGCAUUGAUGUUCAUCAGUGAUAUUGGCCUGUAGUUUUCUUUUUAUGUGGAGUCUUUGUCUGGUUUUGGUACCAGGGUGACGGUGGCCUCAAAGAAUGAGUUUGGGAGUAUCCCUUCUUCUGCAAUUUUCUGCCAUAGUUUCAGAAGGAUAGGUGUUAGCUCUUUUCUAAAUGUUUGAUAGAAUUCGCCUGUGAAGCCAUCUGGUCCUGAACUUUUGUUUGUUGGAAGUUUUUUAAUCACAGUUUCCAUUUCAGUUCUUGUGAUGGGUCCAUUCAUCUUUUCUAUUUCAUCUUGGUUUGGUCUUGGAAGAUUGUACUUUUCUAAGAAUUUCUUGUUUAUUUGAGCUUUUUCUUGUUUCCUGAGGUGGGCUUGUAUUGCUAUAAACUUUCCUCUUAGAACGGCUUUUGCUGCAUCCCAUAGGUUUUGGAGUGUCGUAUCUUCAUUGUCAUUUGCUGCUAGGUAUUUUUUAAUUUCCUCUUUGAUUUCUUCAGUGAUCCAUUGGUUGUUUAGUAGCAUGUUGUUGAGUCUCCACGUGUUUGUGUUUUUUGCAGUUUUUUUCUUGUUGUUGAUUUCCAGUCGUAUAGCAUUGUGGUCGGAAAAGAUGCUUGAUAUGAUUUCAAUUUUCUUAAAGUUACUGAGGUUGGAUUUGUAGCCCAGGAUAUGAUCAAUCUUAGAGAAUGUUCCAUGUGCACUUGAGAAGAAUGUGUAUUCUGUUGCUUUUGGAUGGAAUGUCCUAUAAAUAUCUAUUAAGUCCAUCUGGUUUAAUGCUUCAUUCAGGGCCUGUGUUUCCUUAUUGAUUUUCUGUCUGGUUGAUCUGUCCAUUGCUGUAAGUGGGGUGUUAAAGUCCCCCACUAUGAUUGUGUUAUUGUCGAUUUCUCCUUUUAAGGUUGUUAGCAGUUGCCUUAUAUAUUGUGGUGAACCUGUGUUGGGUGCGUAGAUAUUUAAAAUUGUUAUAUCAUCUUCUUGGAUUGAUCCUUUGAUCAUUAUGUAAUGUCCUUCUUUGUCCCUUAAAAUAUUCUUCAUUUUAAAGUCUAUUUUGUCUGAUAUGAGUAUUGCUACUCCAGCUUUCUUUUGAUCCCCGUUU